RNAcentral lists this long non-coding RNA (632 nucleotides) under Ursus maritimus (polar bear). Its description in RNAcentral is "lncRNA (ENSUMAG00000023573.1)". Lineage: Eukaryota; Metazoa; Chordata; Mammalia; Carnivora; Ursidae. The record is from RNAcentral.
GGGGACUCGGCCGCCAUGUUAGGAGUGCCGGGAACAGUCCGCGGAUCCUGGCUGAGGUUUUAGGCAGCGCGCGAGCCGAAUGGUGGUGCGGUGGGGACGAGUGUCUACACUAUGAAAGAUGGAAAAUUUCUUUUUCUCCUGAGGUACAACAAUGGGAAAGGCUCAUACAAAUAUUUCUGGUAUUCAGAAACACCUUUGCAAGUAAUUGUGGUUUGGGUAAUUGUUGGACUAGAAAAUAUUUCUUUGCAACAAGGUUUAACUGGCAAAAUAAAUGGAAAGAUGGCAGCAAAAGAAGGGAAUCGCUAAGACUGGACACAGAUGCCAAAAUUUAAAAAGUACUUCUGCAUACGUAUAUUCAGUGAAAAAUCAAACUCUACCACAUGGACAAGCAUUGCUUAAUUAAGGUGUGUAAUACAGUUUUGGGGGUUUUUUUUUAGGGAAAUGAACAAAUUAUAUCUUCAUCUAAAGCAUUUGAUUAAAGAAAUUAAGCCCUACAGUACUCUAUUAUAGACAUCCAAAGUAUCAAUAUUUGGGGGCACAGUUUCAAUCCUAAAUCCAUUUCUUAGAUUCUGUAAGUACAUAUUGAGUAAUUACCAACUUAAAUACCCUGGAGAUACAAAGAUGACUAUGAC